UACGUAGGGGGCAAGCGUUGUCCGGAUUUAUUGGGCGUAAAGAGCGUGUAGGCGGCCUGGAAGGUCAGCUGUGAAAACUCGAGGCUCAACCUCGAGACGUCGGUUGAAACCAUCUGGCUAGAGUCCGGAAGAGGAGAGUGGAAUUCCUGGUGUAGCGGUGAAAUGCGCAGAUAUCAGGAAGAACACCCGUGGCGAAGGCGGCUCUCUGGGACGGUACUGACGCUGAGACGCGAAAGCGUGGGGAGCGAACAGG
This 253-nucleotide ribosomal RNA is filed under the name uncultured bacterium. RNAcentral describes it as "partial 16S ribosomal RNA". It matches the Rfam family "Bacterial small subunit ribosomal RNA", at positions 524 to 776 of the family's 1533-position model. The record is from RNAcentral.